RNAcentral lists this ribosomal RNA (465 nucleotides) under uncultured Klebsiella sp. Its description in RNAcentral is "bacterial SSU rRNA". It matches the Rfam family "Bacterial small subunit ribosomal RNA", at positions 338 to 795 of the family's 1533-position model. The record is from RNAcentral. Lineage: Bacteria; Pseudomonadati; Pseudomonadota; Gammaproteobacteria; Enterobacterales; Enterobacteriaceae.
CCUACGGGAGGCAGCAGUGGGGAAUAUUGCACAAUGGGCGCAAGCCUGAUGCAGCCAUGCCGCGUGUGUGAAGAAGGCCUUCGGGUUGUAAAGCACUUUCAGCGGGGAGGAAGGCGUUAAGGUUAAUAACCUUGUCGAUUGACGUUACCCGCAGAAGAAGCACCGGCUAACUCCGUGCCAGCAGCCGCGGUAAUACAGAGGGUGCAAGCGUUAAUCGGAAUUACUGGGCGUAAAGCGCACGCAGGCGGUCUGUCAAGUCGGAUGUGAAAUCCCCGGGCUCAACCUGGGAACUGCAUUCGAAACUGGCAGGCUAGAGUCUUGUAGAGGGGGGUAGAAUUCCAGGUGUAGCGGUGAAAUGCGUAGAGAUCUGGAGGAAUACCGGUGGCGAAGGCGGCCCCCUGGACAAAGACUGACGCUCAGGUGCGAAAGCGUGGGGAGCAAACAGGAUUAGAUACCCCGGUAGUC